This 1435-nucleotide ribosomal RNA is filed under the name Klebsiella variicola. Its description in RNAcentral is "bacterial SSU rRNA". It matches the Rfam family "Bacterial small subunit ribosomal RNA". The record is from RNAcentral. Lineage: Bacteria; Pseudomonadati; Pseudomonadota; Gammaproteobacteria; Enterobacterales; Enterobacteriaceae.
CUGGCUCAGAUUGAACGCUGGCGGCAGGCCUAACACAUGCAAGUCGAGCGGUAGCACAGAGAGCUUGCUCUCGGGUGACGAGCGGCGGACGGGUGAGUAAUGUCUGGGAAACUGCCUGAUGGAGGGGGAUAACUACUGGAAACGGUAGCUAAUACCGCAUAACGUCGCAAGACCAAAGUGGGGGACCUUCGGGCCUCAUGCCAUCAGAUGUGCCCAGAUGGGAUUAGCUGGUAGGUGGGGUAACGGCUCACCUAGGCGACGAUCCCUAGCUGGUCUGAGAGGAUGACCAGCCACACUGGAACUGAGACACGGUCCAGACUCCUACGGGAGGCAGCAGUGGGGAAUAUUGCACAAUGGGCGCAAGCCUGAUGCAGCCAUGCCGCGUGUGUGAAGAAGGCCUUCGGGUUGUAAAGCACUUUCAGCGGGGAGGAAGGCGGUGAGGUUAAUAACCUCAUCGAUUGACGUUACCCGCAGAAGAAGCACCGGCUAACUCCGUGCCAGCAGCCGCGGUAAUACGGAGGGUGCAAGCGUUAAUCGGAAUUACUGGGCGUAAAGCGCACGCAGGCGGUCUGUCAAGUCGGAUGUGAAAUCCCCGGGCUCAACCUGGGAACUGCAUUCGAAACUGGCAGGCUAGAGUCUUGUAGAGGGGGGUAGAAUUCCAGGUGUAGCGGUGAAAUGCGUAGAGAUCUGGAGGAAUACCGGUGGCGAAGGCGGCCCCCUGGACAAAGACUGACGCUCAGGUGCGAAAGCGUGGGGAGCAAACAGGAUUAGAUACCCUGGUAGUCCACGCUGUAAACGAUGUCGAUUUGGAGGUUGUGCCCUUGAGGCGUGGCUUCCGGAGCUAACGCGUUAAAUCGACCGCCUGGGGAGUACGGCCGCAAGGUUAAAACUCAAAUGAAUUGACGGGGGCCCGCACAAGCGGUGGAGCAUGUGGUUUAAUUCGAUGCAACGCGAAGAACCUUACCUGGUCUUGACAUCCACAGAACUUUCCAGAGAUGGAUUGGUGCCUUCGGGAACUGUGAGACAGGUGCUGCAUGGCUGUCGUCAGCUCGUGUUGUGAAAUGUUGGGUUAAGUCCCGCAACGAGCGCAACCCUUAUCCUUUGUUGCCAGCGGUUCGGCCGGGAACUCAAAGGAGACUGCCAGUGAUAAACUGGAGGAAGGUGGGGAUGACGUCAAGUCAUCAUGGCCCUUACGACCAGGGCUACACACGUGCUACAAUGGCAUAUACAAAGAGAAGCGACCUCGCGAGAGCAAGCGGACCUCAUAAAGUAUGUCGUAGUCCGGAUUGGAGUCUGCAACUCGACUCCAUGAAGUCGGAAUCGCUAGUAAUCGUAGAUCAGAAUGCUACGGUGAAUACGUUCCCGGGCCUUGUACACACCGCCCGUCACACCAUGGGAGUGGGUUGCAAAAGAAGUAGGUAGCUUAACCUUCGGG